CCAAGACCUUCAUAUCUGCUCCACGAGCUCAGCGCACUGGGCAGCCCGCUUGGUGCUUAGUAGACGCUGACGCUGCUCAUCUCACUUGUCUUCCCGUCCCCCAGGGAGAAACCGACGUCCCCAUCUCAUCCCGCUAGUGAGGCUGUUCCCCAAGCUACCUUGGGGCUGGUCUAGCAGAACAUCCCACUUCCUGUGUCCUCCGAGGAGAGAUUAGCAGAAGGUGAAGAACAGCUAGCCCUGCCCAGAGCUCCCCCGCUGCUCUGAUCAAACACCACCCCGCUGGCUCUUCUUGCACGGGUUCCCCCAGCGCAGGCCAGAAACAGCUGAUCAAACACAUCAGGACAAGUAAAAUCAGUCUGGACCAGAGAGUCUUUAAAAACCUCACCCACGGAGACCUCCCGGAACCCCAGUGAGGCCAGCCUGCCCUUGCCUUCCUUGGAGCAGGGCCCCCACCACUCGGACGGAGCUUCCUGCCCCCAGAACACCCAUCCAGACAGCACAUGGGCCCUGACGGACGUGUUGCCCUCUGCAUGUCCCACCAAGAAGCCACGAAGGCCACCUAGCAGCUUCCACAGUACACACAGCUCAGAAUGGCCUUGGGCUGCUGGAAGUUGCUUGGAAGCCCCGCAUUAGAGCUUCAGCCCUCAACCUGAGAUUCUGCUUUGGAAGCCAUCUGAUAGAGUGGAAAGAGUUCUAGACCAGGUG
This 705-nucleotide long non-coding RNA is filed under the name Mustela putorius furo (domestic ferret). Its description in RNAcentral is "lncRNA (ENSMPUG00000029834.1)". The record is from RNAcentral. Lineage: Eukaryota; Metazoa; Chordata; Mammalia; Carnivora; Mustelidae.